Arachis ipaensis is the source of this 571-nucleotide non-coding RNA. The record is from RefSeq and is a predicted model, not a curated record. NCBI's taxonomy places the organism in Eukaryota, Viridiplantae, Streptophyta, Magnoliopsida, Fabales, Fabaceae.
UUAAAUAACUUUACUUUUGCAUAUAUUUUAUAUAAUGUGAUAACAUAAUAUAGAAAGAAUCAAGUAAAAAAAUGUCUAGUUAAUUUUCUUAACAAAACCACCUUUUAAAGUCGCAUACAUAGAGAUCAAGAAUUAUUCCCACUUUGCUUAUUAAAAAGAUGGCUAAGUCAAUAACUCUAGCAAAGAUUUCCUUACUUUUCCUUUCGAUUUCUGUUGUUUCAAGGAGAAAUGAAGUGGCUGAAGCAAAGACGUGUGUAGAAGUGUUGAUUGAAUCACAUUGCAUAAUAUCCAAUGAACCUUGCAUAAAGAUAUGCUUGGAUCAAUUUGGCCCCAAAUCCUCUGGUCAUUGUAGUUUCCCUCUUUGUGUAUGCUCCUAUGAAUGUACUGAAUAUGAUUAAUUACUAGAAUAUACCUUAAUUAUGCCUACAACUAUGCAUUUGCAAUUAUGAAUGGAGAUGAUAAGAUAUUUUCAAAUAAUUUUGAUUGAAAGUGUUUGGGAGUAAUGAAAUUCUAUCGAAGAAAUUAAAUAAUAAUUGCAAGUGGAAUCUGAGUGGUUUUCUUUUCGUGUGUA